GGCGCAGCCUGAUGCAGCCAUGCCGCGUGUGUGAAGAAGGCCUUCGGGUUGUAAAGUACUUUCAGCGGGGAGGAAGGCGAUAAGGUUAAUAACCUUGUCGAUUGACGUUACCCGCAGAAGAAGCACCGGCUAACUCCGUGCCAGCAGCCGCGGUAAUACGGAGGGUGCAAGCGUUAAUCGGAAUUACUGGGCGUAAAGCGCACGCAGGCGGUCUGUCAAGUCGGAUGUGAAAUCCCCGGGCUCAACCUGGGAACUGCAUUCGAAACUGGCAGGCUAGAGUCUUGUAGAGGGGGGUAGAAUUCCAGGUGUAGCGGUGAAAUGCGUAGAGAUCUGGAGGAAUACCGGUGGCGAAGGCGGCCCCCUGGACAAANACUGACGCUCAUGUGCGAAAGCGUGGGGAGCAAACANGAUUAUAUACCCUGGUAGUCCACGCCGUA
RNAcentral lists this ribosomal RNA (437 nucleotides) under Klebsiella pneumoniae. RNAcentral describes it as "bacterial SSU rRNA". It matches the Rfam family "Bacterial small subunit ribosomal RNA", at positions 374 to 804 of the family's 1533-position model. Lineage: Bacteria; Pseudomonadati; Pseudomonadota; Gammaproteobacteria; Enterobacterales; Enterobacteriaceae. The record is from RNAcentral.